GAUGAACGCUGGCGGCGUGCCUAAUACAUGCAAGUCGAACGCACAGCGAAAGGUGCUUGCACCUUUCAAGUGAGUGGCGAACGGGUGAGUAACACGUGGACAACCUGCCUCAAGGCUGGGGAUAACAUUUGGAAACAGAUGCUAAUACCGAAUAAAACUUAGUGUCGCAUGACACAAAGUUAAAAGGCGCUUUGGCGUCACCUAGAGAUGGAUCCGCGGUGCAUUAGUUAGUUGGUGGGGUAAAGGCCUACCAAGACAAUGAUGCAUAGCCGAGUUGAGAGACUGAUCGGCCACAUUGGGACUGAGACACGGCCCAAACUCCUACGGGAGACUGCAGUAGGGAAUCUUCCACAAUGGGCGAAAGCCUGAUGGAGCAACGCCGCGUGUGUGAUGAAGGCUUUCGGGUCGUAAAGCACUGUUGUAUGGGAAGAACAGCUAGAAUAGGGAAUGAUUUUAGUUUGACGGUACCAUACCAGAAAGGGACGGCUAAAUACGUGCCAGCAGCCGCUGUAA
Molecule: ribosomal RNA, 513 nt
Filed under: uncultured bacterium
Lineage: Bacteria
Description: partial 16S ribosomal RNA
Rfam family: Bacterial small subunit ribosomal RNA
Source: RNAcentral